This 447-nucleotide ribosomal RNA is filed under the name uncultured Pseudoalteromonas sp. RNAcentral describes it as "bacterial SSU rRNA". It matches the Rfam family "Bacterial small subunit ribosomal RNA", at positions 1083 to 1532 of the family's 1533-position model. The record is from RNAcentral. Lineage: Bacteria; Pseudomonadati; Pseudomonadota; Gammaproteobacteria; Alteromonadales; Pseudoalteromonadaceae.
AGUCCGCACGAGCGCACCCCUAUCCUUAGUUGCUAGCAGGUAAUGCUGAGAACUCUAAGGAGACUGCCGGUGAUAAACCGGAGGAAGGUGGGGACGACGUCAAGUCGUCAUGGCCCUUACGUGUAGGGCUACACACGUGCUACAAUGGCGCAUACAGAGUGCUGCGAACUCGCGAGAGUAAGCGAAUCACUUAAAGUGCGUCGUAGUCCGGAUUGGAGUCUGCAACUCGACUCCAUGAAGUCGGAAUCGCUAGUAAUCGCAUAUCAGAAUGAUGCGGUGAAUACGUUCCCGGGCCUUGUACACACCGCCCGUCACACCAUGGGAGUGGGUUGCUCCAGAAGUGGAUAGUCUAACCUUCGGGAGGACGUUCACCGCGGAGUGAUUCAUGACUGGGGUGAAGUCGUAACAAGGUAGCCCUAGGGGAACCUGGGGCUGGAUCACCUCCUU